CAAAUACUCCCUCCGUCCUAAAAUUUUUGUCUUACUUUGUCUAGAAAUGAGUGUAUCUAAAUACAAAAAUAUGACUAUAUACAUUCAUAUCUAAAUAAAUUUAAGACAAGAAUGUUGGGACGGAGGGACUAAUAC
Hordeum vulgare subsp. vulgare (domesticated barley) is the source of this 135-nucleotide non-coding RNA. Lineage: Eukaryota; Viridiplantae; Streptophyta; Magnoliopsida; Poales; Poaceae. The record is from Rfam.